Small nuclear RNA from Mustela putorius furo (domestic ferret), 164 nucleotides. Its record names the gene U1. It matches the Rfam family "U1 spliceosomal RNA". Rfam says of the family: U1 is a small nuclear RNA (snRNA) component of the spliceosome (involved in pre-mRNA splicing). Its 5' end forms complementary base pairs with the 5' splice junction, thus defining the 5' donor site of an intron. There are significant differences in sequence and secondary structure between metazoan and yeast U1 snRNAs, the latter being much longer (568 nucleotides as compared to 164 nucleotides in human). The record is from Ensembl. Lineage: Eukaryota; Metazoa; Chordata; Mammalia; Carnivora; Mustelidae.
AUACUUCCCUGACAGGGGAGAUACCAUGAUCACAAAGGUGGUUUUCCCAGGACGAGGCUUAUCCAUUGCACUCUGGAUGUGCUGAUCCAUGGGAUUUCCCCAAAUGUGGGAAACUUGACUGCAUAAUUUGUGGUAGUGGGGGACUGUGUUUGUGCUUUCUCCGG